AUUGAACGCUGGCGGCAUGCCUUACACAUGCAAGUCGAACGGCAGCACGGGAGCAAUCCUGGUGGCGAGUGGCGAACGGGUGAGUAAUAUAUCGGAACGUGCCCAGUCGUGGGGAUAACGUAGCGAAAGCUACGCUAAUACCGCAUACUAUCUAUGGAUGAAAGCGGGGGGAUCGCAAGACCUCGCGCGAUUGGAGCGGCCGAUAUCAGAUUAGGUAGUUGGUGAGGUAAAGGGCUCACCGAAGCCGACGAUCUGUAGCUGGUCUGAGAGGACGACCAGCCACACUGGGA
RNAcentral lists this ribosomal RNA (290 nucleotides) under uncultured bacterium. RNAcentral describes it as "partial 16S ribosomal RNA". It matches the Rfam family "Bacterial small subunit ribosomal RNA", at positions 30 to 318 of the family's 1533-position model. The record is from RNAcentral.